AAAUGGUGGGUAGUACAAUAUAAUCCCUGCGGGGGAAAGAUUUAUCGCUAUUAGAUGAGCCUAUGUUAGAUUAGCUAGUUGGUAGGGUAAAGGCCUACCAAGGCGAUGAUCUAUAGCUGGUCUGAGAGGAUGAUCAGCCACACUGGAACUGAGAUACGGUCCAGACUCCUACGGGAGGCAGCAGUGGGGAAUAUUGGACAAUGGGCGCAAGCCUGAUCCAGCUAUGCCGCGUGAGUGAGGAAGGCCUUAGGGUUGUAAAACUCUUUCAGUAGGGAAGAUAAUGACGGUACCUACAGAAGAAGUCCCGGCAAACUCCGUGCCAGCAGCCGCGGUAAUACGGAGGGGGCAAGCGUUGUUCGGAAUUAUUGGGCGUAAAGGGCAUGUAGGCGGUUCGG
RNAcentral lists this ribosomal RNA (395 nucleotides) under uncultured Anaplasma sp. Its description in RNAcentral is "bacterial SSU rRNA". It matches the Rfam family "Bacterial small subunit ribosomal RNA", at positions 154 to 583 of the family's 1533-position model. The record is from RNAcentral. Lineage: Bacteria; Pseudomonadati; Pseudomonadota; Alphaproteobacteria; Rickettsiales; Anaplasmataceae.